RNAcentral lists this ribosomal RNA (451 nucleotides) under Streptococcus mitis. RNAcentral describes it as "bacterial SSU rRNA". It matches the Rfam family "Bacterial small subunit ribosomal RNA", at positions 28 to 465 of the family's 1533-position model. The record is from RNAcentral. Lineage: Bacteria; Bacillati; Bacillota; Bacilli; Lactobacillales; Streptococcaceae.
GACGAACGCUGGCGGCGUGCCUAAUACAUGCAAGUAGAGCGCUGAAGGAGGAGCUUGCUUCUCUGGAUGAGUUGCGAACGGGUGAGUAACGCGUAGGUAACCUGCCUGGUAGCGGGGGAUAACUAUUGGAAACGAUAGCUAAUACCGCAUAACAGUAGAUGUUGCAUGACAUUUGCUUAAAAGGUGCAAUUGCAUCACUACCAGAUGGACCUGCGUUGUAUUAGCUAGUUGGUGGGGUAACGGCUCACCAAGGCGACGAUACAUAGCCGACCUGAGAGGGUGAUCGGCCACACUGGGGCUGAGACACGGCCCAGACUCCUACGGGAGGCAGCAGUAGGGAAUCUUCGGCAAUGGACGGAAGUCUGACCGAGCAACGCCGCGUGAGUGAAGAAGGUUUUCGGAUCGUAAAGCUCUGUUGUAAGAGAAGAACAGGUGUGAGAGUGGAAAGUUC